GAAAUGCGAUAACUAGUGUGAAUUGCAGAAUUCCGUGAAUCAUCGAGUCUUUGAACGCACAUUGCGCCCCCUGGUAUUCCGGGGGGCAUGCCUGUCCGAGCGUCAUUGCUGCCCAUCAAGCACGGCUUGUGUGUUGGGUCGUCGUCCCCUCUCCGGGGGGGACGGGCCCCAAAGGCAGCGGCGGCACCAUGUCUGGUCCUCGAGCGUAUGGGGCUUUGUCACCCGCUCCCGUAGGUCCAGCUGGCAGCUAGCCUCGCAACCAAUCUUUUUAACCAGGUUGACCUCGGAUCAGGUAGGGAUACCCGCUGAACUUAAGC
This 317-nucleotide unclassified non-coding RNA is filed under the name plant metagenome. RNAcentral's name for it is "partial contains 5.8S ribosomal RNA, internal transcribed spacer 2, and large subunit ribosomal RNA". The stretch from base 1 to 105 matches the Rfam family "5.8S ribosomal RNA", at positions 50 to 154 of the family's 154-position model. The record is from RNAcentral.